This 492-nucleotide ribosomal RNA is filed under the name uncultured bacterium. RNAcentral describes it as "partial 16S ribosomal RNA". It matches the Rfam family "Bacterial small subunit ribosomal RNA", at positions 29 to 507 of the family's 1533-position model. The record is from RNAcentral.
AGUGAACGCUGGCGGUAGGCCUAACACAUGCAAGUCGAACGGCAGCACAGUAAGAGCUUGCUCUUACGGGUGGCGAGUGGCGGACGGGUGAGGAAUACAUCGGAAUCUACUUUUUCGUGGGGGAUAACGUAGGGAAACUUACGCUAAUACCGCAUACGACCUACGGGUGAAAGCAGGGGAUCUUCGGACCUUGCGCGAUUGAAUGAGCCGAUGUCGGAUUGGCUAGUUGGCGGGGUAAAGGCCCACCAAGGCGACGAUCCGUAGCUGGUCUGAGAGGAUGAUCGGCCACACUGGAACUUGGACACGGUCCAGACUCCUACGGGAGGCAGCAGUGGGGAAUAUUGGACAAUGGGCGCAAGCCUGAUCCAGCCAUACCGCGUGGGUGAAGAAGGCCUUCGGGUUGUAAAGCCCUUUUGUUGGGAAAGAAAAGCAGCAGGUUAAUACCCCGCUGUUCUGACGGUACCCAAAGAAUAAGCACCGGCUAACUUCGUG